AGGGCGCACGGUGGAUGCCUUGACACUAGGAGUCGAUGAAGGACGGGACUAACGCCGAUAUGCUUCGGGGAGCUGUAAGUAAGCUUUGAUCCGAAGAUUUCCGAAUGGGGAAACCCACCAUACGUAAUGGUAUGGUAUCCUUAUCUGAAUACAUAGGAUAAGGAAGACAGACCCAGGGAACUGAAACAUCUAAGUACCUGGAGGAAGAGAAAGCAAAUGCGAUUUCCUGAGUAGCGGCGAGCGAAACGGAACAUAGCCCAAACCAAGAGGCUUGCCUCUUGGGGUUGUAGGACAUUCUAUACGGAGUUACAAAGGAACGAGGUAGACGAAGCGACCUGGAAAGGUCCGUCGUAGAGGGUAACAACCCCGUAGUCGAAACUUCGUUCUCUCUUGAAUGUAUCCUGAGUACGGCGGAACACGUGAAAUUCCGUCGGAAUCUGGGAGGACCAUCUCCCAAGGCUAAAUACUCCCUAGUGAUCGAUAGUGAACCAGUACCGUGAGGGAAAGGUGAAAAGCACCCCGGAAGGGGAGUGAAAGAGAUCCUGAAACCGUGUGCCUACAAAUAGUCAGAGCCCGUUAACGGGUGAUGGCGUGCCUUUUGUAGAAUGAACCGGCGAGUUACGAUCCCGUGCGAGGUUAAGCUGAAGAGGCGGAGCCGCAGCGAAAGCGAGUCUGAAUAGGGCGUUUAGUACGUGGUCGUAGACCCGAAACCAGGUGAUCUACCCAUGUCCAGGGUGAAGUUCAGGUAACACUGAAUGGAGGCCCGAACCCACGCACGUUGAAAAGUGCGGGGAUGAGGUGUGGGUAGCGGAGAAAUUCCAAUCGAACCUGGAGAUAGCUGGUUCUCCCCGAAAUAGCUUUAGGGCUAGCCUUAAGUGUAAGAGUCUUGGAGGUAGAGCACUGAUUGGACUAGGGGUCCUCAUCGGAUUACCGAAUUCAGUCAAACUCCGAAUGCCAAUGACUUAUCCUUAGGAGUCAGACUGCGAGUGAUAAGAUCCGUAGUCAAAAGGGAAACAGCCCAGACCGCCAGCUAAGGUCCCAAAGUGUGUAUUAAGUGGAAAAGGAUGUGGAGUUGCUUAGACAACUAGGAUGUUGGCUUAGAAGCAGCCACCAUUUAAAGAGUGCGUAAUAGCUCACUAGUCGAGUGACUCUGCGCCGAAAAUGUACCGGGGCUAAAUACACCACCGAAGCUGCGGAUUGAUACCAAUGGUAUCAGUGGUAGGGGAGCGUUCUAAGGACAGUGAAGUCAGACCGGAAGGACUGGUGGAGUGCUUAGAAGUGAGAAUGCCGGUAUGAGUAGCGAAAGACGGGUGAGAAUCCCGUCCACCGAAUGCCUAAGGUUUCCUGAGGAAGGCUCGUCCGCUCAGGGUUAGUCAGGACCUAAGCCGAGGCCGACAGGCGUAGGCGAUGGACAACAGGUUGAUAUUCCUGUACCACCUCUUUAUCGUUUGAGCAAUGGAGGGACGCAGAAGGAUAGAAGAAGCGUGCGAUUGGUUGUGCACGUCCAAGCAGUUAGGCUGAUAAGUAGGCAAAUCCGCUUAUCGUGAAGGCUGAGCUGUGAUGGGGAAGCUCCUUAUGGAGCGAAGUCUUUGAUUCCCCGCUGCCAAGAAAAGCUUCUAGCGAGAUAAAAGGUGCCUGUACCGCAAACCGACACAGGUAGGCGAGGAGAGAAUCCUAAGGUGUGCGAGAGAACUCUGGUUAAGGAACUCGGCAAAAUGACCCCGUAACUUCGGGAGAAGGGGUGCUUUCUUAACGGAAAGCCGCAGUGAAUAGGCCCAAGCGACUGUUUAGCAAAAACACAGCUCUCUGCGAAGCCGUAAGGCGAAGUAUAGGGGGUGACACCUGCCCGGUGCUGGAAGGUUAAGGAGAGGGGUUAGCGUAAGCGAAGCUCUGAACUGAAGCCCCAGUAAACGGCGGCCGUAACUAUAACGGUCCUAAGGUAGCGAAAUUCCUUGUCGGGUAAGUUCCGACCCGCACGAAAGGUGUAACGAUUUGGGCACUGUCUCAACCAGAGACUCGGUGAAAUUAUAGUACCUGUGAAGAUGCAGGUUACCCGCGACAGGACGGAAAGACCCCGUGGAGCUUUACUGUAGCCUGAUAUUGAAUUUUGGUACAGUUUGUACAGGAUAGGCGGGAGCCUUUGAAACCGGAGCGCUAGCUUCGGUGGAGGCGCUGGUGGGAUACCGCCCUGACUGUAUUGAAAUUCUAACCUACGGGUCUUAUCGACCCGGGAGACAGUGUCAGGUGGGCAGUUUGACUGGGGCGGUCGCCUCCUAAAGUGUAACGGAGGCGCCCAAAGGUUCCCUCAGAAUGGUUGGAAAUCAUUCGUAGAGUGCAAAGGCAUAAGGGAGCUUGACUGCGAGACCUACAAGUCGAGCAGGGACGAAAGUCGGGCUUAGUGAUCCGGUGGUUCCGCAUGGAAGGGCCAUCGCUCAACGGAUAAAAGCUACCCCGGGGAUAACAGGCUUAUCUCCCCCAAGAGUCCACAUCGACGGGGAGGUUUGGCACCUCGAUGUCGGCUCAUCGCAUCCUGGGGCUGUAGUCGGUCCCAAGGGUUGGGCUGUUCGCCCAUUAAAGCGGUACGCGAGCUGGGUUCAGAACGUCGUGAGACAGUUCGGUCCCUAUCCGUCGUGGGCGUAGGAAAUUUGAGAGGAGCUGUCCUUAGUACGAGAGGACCGGGAUGGACGCACCGCUGGUGUACCAGUUGUUCUGCCAAGGGCAUAGCUGGGUAGCUAUGUGCGGAAAGGAUAAGUGCUGAAAGCAUCUAAGCAUGAAGCCCCCCUCAAGAUGAGAUUUCCCAUAGCGUAAGCUAGU
Molecule: ribosomal RNA, 2814 nt
Filed under: Bacillus cereus
Lineage: Bacteria; Bacillati; Bacillota; Bacilli; Caryophanales; Bacillaceae
Description: bacterial LSU rRNA
Rfam family: Bacterial large subunit ribosomal RNA
Source: RNAcentral